RNAcentral lists this long non-coding RNA (602 nucleotides) under Piliocolobus tephrosceles (Ugandan red Colobus). RNAcentral describes it as "lncRNA (ENSPTEG00000022207.1)". Lineage: Eukaryota; Metazoa; Chordata; Mammalia; Primates; Cercopithecidae. The record is from RNAcentral.
AUUUCCCUUCCCCUCCAAGAGCCCUUUCUGACCCCUGACUCCUUUCUUUAGCAGCCCUCAAAUGGUUUUCGUGGGUGGAACAUCUCCCUGCGUUUCAGAGGACAUCAGCGCACGUGGUUUCUUUCCUGGCCGCCGCGGCCCACUUGGUCAGUUUCCUCCUAGUUUUGGCCUGGGGCCCUCCCGCCGGGGCUCUGCCGGGUCUGCGGGUCGGGGCGGUCUUUUCACCCCGGAGGAGAGAAAGCAGAGAUUGGAAGCUCGCGCGCUCGGGCGGGGCCUGUCCACCGAGCCCGGCGAGGCUCGGAGGGCCUCGGAGGUGGACGCGCCCCGGCUAUUCCUCCGCGGCUGGGGCUGCUCCGGACGUCCCGCGUCUGGGGCCCGGGAUUCAGCCUGCAAGUACUUGUUAAGAACAGAGGAAGAAAGAAGGCCUGGAAACAAGGAAAAAGAAAAGAAGGAAUAGAAAGAGGAAGGAAGAAAGGAAAAAGGUGGGAAACUAACCAUUAUUGAGCACUAUAAGUAACAGUUUUAAUUAAAUGCUGUUUCAUUUCCUCUUGAUAACACACAUGUGAAAUAAAUGUUAUUAUCGCGUCUUUUGAGGAUGAAAU